CCGAGUUCUACGCUCAUAACCCUUUGUGAACCAUUAUACACUGUUGCUUCGGCGGCGCGGCCCCCCCGGGGACGUGCCCGCCGGUAUAACCAGUAUCUCUGUUCGAACCCGACGUAACUUCUGAGUGUUCCAAAAGAACUAUUA
RNAcentral lists this unclassified non-coding RNA (144 nucleotides) under uncultured Sordariomycetes. Its description in RNAcentral is "sequence contains ITS1". Lineage: Eukaryota; Fungi; Ascomycota; Sordariomycetes. The record is from RNAcentral.